This 328-nucleotide ribosomal RNA is filed under the name uncultured Lachnospiraceae bacterium. RNAcentral's name for it is "partial 16S ribosomal RNA". Lineage: Bacteria; Bacillati; Bacillota; Clostridia; Lachnospirales; Lachnospiraceae. The record is from RNAcentral.
GGAGUUUGGGCCGUGUCUCAGUCCCAAUGUGGCCGAUCACCCUCUCAGGUCGGCUAUAGAUCGUCGCCUUGGUGAGCCGUUACCUCACCAACCAGCUAAUCUAACGCGGGUCCAUCUCAUGCCGAUAAAUCUUUUACCAUUGCACCAUGCGGUACUUGGUCUUAUGCGGUAUUAGCAGUCGUUUCCAACUGUUGUCCCCCUGCAUGAGGCAGGUUACCCACGCGUUACUCACCCGUCCGCCACUAAGUCAUCAGAUCCAUUGACCGAAGUCUCCUUCACUGAUGCUUCGUUCGACUUGCAUGUGUUAAGCACGCCGCCAGCGUUCAUC